AUCUCCUUCCUCACAUCCUCUCUAUCUGGCUCUCCACAGUCAACAGCAGCCCUCGCCCUGGGAUUGCUCCACAAUCCCCAAACUCCAGCUCCCAGCUGCUGUCCCUUUCAGGGGACCCACGUCCGUCUGGGGAAGCAGUUGUGAUGGCCUCUGCUGGUCAGAGAGGGACAUGAGGAAAUAGCCUGGUUGGCAUUUACAAGCCUCUCAGUGCAGGCCAUGCCACUCACCGCACAGACCCUGUCCCCUCCAGUCUCCAUCACAGAGGACCGGCUGUCUCACGUCGAGGGCAUGCCAGUGUUCAUUCAGUUCCUUUGUGUGGCUGCGAGGCAUGUGUGGAGGCUGCAGCAGUGACCCCCUGACCGCCACCUGCCUCGUGGGGCUGAGGCAGCCAGUCCCCAGGCAUUUUCCUGGGCAUCACUCCAACAGGCCUGGCCUGUGUCUGUUCCUCCAGCCCUCUCAAUAAAACUGAAA
Long non-coding RNA from Cervus elaphus (red deer), 471 nucleotides. RefSeq lists it as uncharacterized. The record is from RefSeq and is a predicted model, not a curated record. The transcript is spliced from 3 exons. Lineage: Eukaryota; Metazoa; Chordata; Mammalia; Artiodactyla; Cervidae.